AAUGAACGUUGGCGGCGUGGAUUAGGCAUGCGAGUCGUACGAGAACCCGCAAGGGGGAAAGUGGCGAACGGGGUAGUAAUGCGUAGGUGACGUGCCCUAUGGUCGGGGAUAGCUUAGGGAAACUUAAGGUAAUACUCGAUAAUCCCGGGAGGUUUGAAGACCAUCCGGGCAAAGGUGUGAUUCCAUCAUAGGAGCGGCUUGCGUGGUAUUAGCUAGUUGGUGAGGUAACGGCUCACCAAGGCUAUGACGGGUAGGGGGUNUGAGAGCACGACCCCCCUCACUGGCGUNAGACACUGCCACGANACCUACGGUGGGCUG
RNAcentral lists this ribosomal RNA (318 nucleotides) under uncultured bacterium. RNAcentral describes it as "bacterial SSU rRNA". It matches the Rfam family "Bacterial small subunit ribosomal RNA", at positions 29 to 351 of the family's 1533-position model. The record is from RNAcentral.